AACAUGGUUAAAUUAUUUAAGGCCUUGGUUGAGUCUAGGAUUAGAUUAAAGUAUGAAUUUUACCAAAUGAAUGGUGAUCUUCCAAUGUUUGAGAAGAAAUGGUGUGUAAACAAAGGGGUGACUUAUAAGAGGCGAGAAUCUCUUUUUCAAUUGGUAAUGGUUGUUAAAACAAUGUGUUCUGUAUGUUAAGGUUUUUUUAAUUGUAGAAUAAAUUAUAUUUUAAAAGUCAAAGUCUCUCUCUCUCUCCCCCUGCAGAUGUGUUGUUAUCUCUAGCAUCCCUGCUGGUGCCUCUGCAAAUUACACCUGCAACAUGAGGGGUCGUCAUGUGAACAUCAUCAUUCCCAAUGUUAUCCAGGCUCUCACGCUCUGUGAAGUGGAAGUCUAUGGGGUUCCAGUGCCUGUUACUAAGAGGGCAUUUCUGAGAUUGAAGUUUAACAUCAACGAUAUCUGCCAAUGCCCAGCCUUCAGUGCGUCAGAUCUGUUGGACUACAGAACCAGAGGUGGAAAAUGAAAC
Molecule: long non-coding RNA, 514 nt
Organism: Ictalurus punctatus (channel catfish)
Lineage: Eukaryota; Metazoa; Chordata; Actinopteri; Siluriformes; Ictaluridae
Source: Ensembl